UAAAAAAACACUAAAUUCACAUUUCAUAAUUUUUAAUAAAAGUUUCUAUUCUUUAAGAAAAUUGAUUAUAAAUAUGGAACUUACACAAACUCUUUUUACCUUGACCAUCUUCCAUGGGAUCACAACAAUACCUCAGCUUACCUGAAAUUCAGGUGACAAAAAUAUGAUGAGGAUUCACCAGACUUUACUUAAGCCAAUUGUUAUUUGAAGAAAAAUGUCUCCCCAAAUGAUGUGCACCUCUCCAGUGUGGGUAAAUAUAUCACUAAAGGAAGAAUGACUUUUUCUUUAGAUACAAGCCUAUUGGUUGUUGUCACCCAAAAAUGAUAUGGAUCCCUUCACCAGUCAGUGUGGUGAACUUCAUGCCAAAUAUCUUUGGAAACACUCCACAGAGACUCCCAGAGGUGAUAUUUGGGCACAGUGAUCUUUGAGACAGGGAAAAGAGUUCCAGAAAUGAGUGCCAUUUGUUGAAAAGUAAUGUGAACCAUAUUUGAGAGAUAUAAGUUGAAGAAACGUUCACUGACAACUUUAAACAAGGCAAGAGAAACCAACGUAGGAUAAUGCAUGAUAGACUGCCUCCCUUCCCCAAAGAAUAUCUGCCUCCAUUUCAAGAACAUAGAUCUUCUCCAGUGCUCAUCUCCAAUGUGCACAGAUUGGAAUAUGCUAUGCUUAGCAACAGACAUGCCAGGAGGAGGAGAGAGAAGAGGAAUUGUUUUGAAACAUGCCAGAGUUUUCUAUUCUGAUGUGAGGAGAAACUUUUUCCAGAAUCUAACCUGCUGGACUUUAUCAGAGCUAACACUAACUAGGGAAAGGGAAAUAUUCACCUCUACCUGUCUCUAUCUUUUCUUGUCUGGAAAGCAAAUACUCAACUCAAGCACCCUUUAGCCCUCCCUAAUGUGGUGGAUGGAACCAAGAAGCAUUGGUGAAGUUCUCCAGCCAGAGGUACAGGUUCCCUAAAAGACUGAGACCUAACAAAAGGCCUAUAGAAGACUUUUCAGCUUCUCACACCUUACUAUUCCAACAUUAGAGACCCAUUUACUACAGUUGAUUUAUCCAGUGCACCAUGUUGACAUUCAACAAACAACUACAAGGCAUAAUACAAGGCAAAACGCAGUUUGAAAAAUUAAACAAGCAUCAGAAACAGAGUCAGAUAUGACAGGAGCCUUGCAAUUAUUUGUGUAGAAAUUAAAGUGAAACCA
Molecule: non-coding RNA, 1196 nt
Organism: Heterocephalus glaber (naked mole-rat)
Lineage: Eukaryota; Metazoa; Chordata; Mammalia; Rodentia; Bathyergidae
Source: RefSeq, a predicted model, not a curated record